ACGCUGGCGGCGUGCCUAAUACAUGCAAGUCGAACGAGAGCGACCGGUGCUUGCACUGGUCAAUCUAGUGGCGAACGGGUGAGUAACACGUGGGUAACCUGCCCAUCAGAGGGGGAUAACAUUCGGAAACGGAUGCUAAAACCGCAUAGGUCUUCGAAUCGCAUGGUUUGAAGAGGAAAAGAGGCGCAAGCUUCUGCUGAUGGAUGGACCCGCGGUGCAUUAGCUAGUUGGCGAGGUACGGCUCACCAAGGCCGUGAUGCAUAGCCGACCUGAGAGGGUGAUCGGCCACAUUGGGACUGAGACACGGCCCAAACUCCUACGGGAGGCAGCAGUAGGGAAUCUUCCGCAAUGAACGCAAGUCUGACGGAGCAACGCCGCGUGAGUGAAGAAGGUUUUCGGAUCGUAAAACUCUGUUGUUAGAGAAGAACAAGUGCUAGAGUAACUGUUAGCGCCUCGACGGUAUCUAACCAGAAAGCCACGGCUAACUACGUGCCAGCAGCCGCGGUAAUACGUAGGUGGCAAGCGUUGUCCGGAUUUAUUGGGCGUAAAGCGAGCGCAGGCGGUUCCUUAAGUCUGAUGUGAAAGCCCCCGGCUCAACCGAGGAGGGUCAUUGGAAACUGGGGAACUUGAGUGCAGAAGAGGAGAGUGGAAUUCCAUGUGUAGCGGUGAAAUGCGUAGAUAUAUGGAGGAACACCAGUGGCGAAGGCGACUCUCUGGUCUGUAACUGACGCUGAGGCUCGAAAGCGUGGGUAGCAAACAGGAUUAGAUACCCUGGUAGUCCACGCCGUAAACGAUGAGUGCUAAGUGUUGGAGGGUUUCCGCCCUUCAGUGCUGCAGUUAACGCAUUAAGCACUCCGCCUGGGGAGUACGACCGCAAGGUUGAAACUCAAAGGAAUUGACGGGGACCCGCACAAGCGGU
Molecule: ribosomal RNA, 919 nt
Filed under: uncultured bacterium
Lineage: Bacteria
Description: bacterial SSU rRNA
Rfam family: Bacterial small subunit ribosomal RNA
Source: RNAcentral